Molecule: long non-coding RNA, 16023 nt
Filed under: Fragaria vesca (wild strawberry)
Lineage: Eukaryota; Viridiplantae; Streptophyta; Magnoliopsida; Rosales; Rosaceae
Description: long non-coding RNA (FVES_LNC000801)
Source: RNAcentral
UAAAAGACCAAGAGCUGCAAUGCAUGUCAAAACAUAAUAAUUAAUCACUCUGUAAGUUUUUUUUUUUUUUUUUUCGGUAGAAUAAGAAGUUUAUAUUUUGUUACAAGAAGAAUUGAUGUUAAUUACAAUGAAUUGGUUGGUUUAGAUUUUUGAUGUUUUGCUUCAGUAAAUCUUAGUGGAUUUUGUCAAUCGCGUCAUCAUCUAGUUUUAUACAUUAUGGAAAUUGCUGGUUUUAUAUUUCAAUAUCUCUGCAUGUUGUUGUUAAUUAUCUUUUAGACACCCGAUUACAUUUUUCAUCAAUUAAGAGUGUGAGCUUCGGAAGAAUUUCAAGUUCCUCGAGCGAAAAAUAAACUUGUACGUCCUGUGUUUGCAGUGAUACAAUGGAUGAAUAUCAGAAGCAAGUGAAGGCUUUAGCAGAGCAACUAAUUCGCAUCGUCUUCAAAUUCUUGAGCAUUUCUCAAGAAGAAGUGGAUUGGUUUGAUGAUCCAACUAAUAUGUGUCCUUCUGCUUUUCAGCUAAAUUCUUAUCCCCCUUGCCCUGACCCGACUCAAGCUUUAGGUCUACCACCACACACGGACGGUUCCUUGUUUACCAUACUCCACUCCCGAACCGAGGGUCUUCAAGUCUUCAAAGAAGGAGUUGGGUGGAUUACUGUGCAGCCCAAUCCUGAAGCAUUCAUUGUGAAUCUUGGUGAUGUACUCCACAUAAUGUCCAAUGGUCGAUUUGUUAGUGUUCUUCAUCGAGCCGCGGUGAUCCAAAAAGACCAUCGGAUCUCUGCCGCCUAUUUCUAUUGGCCCCCAAUGGACUUCACCAUCUCUCCCAUCCUCUCUAAGAACUCUGCUGACUCCGAACAAGUUCCUAAGUAUCGUUCGGUCACAUUGAAGGAGUAUCAUGUCAUAAAGACUAAGCAUUGUCAAGAUACUCUUUCUGUUAUUAGAAUUUAAAUUCUAUGAUAGAACUUUUAUUUACAAGAAAGGUGCGGCGCGCUGCACUUUUUAGUCUUGAAAAUUGAAACCGUUGAAUGUAAAGGGGGGACUUUGAUCCUAAAACCCUAAUUACAAUAUAUAUGCAUCUAGAGAAUGUUCUAAAAUGAUAUCCUAAAUUUUAGAUUCAAAUAAAAUCAUUCAUUAGCUUCUUUAUAUUGUUAGUACUUUUUUCAAAAUUAUAAGUGCUCUAUACAUUUUUCUUUGAGGGUGCACUAUAAUACCCGUACUGUUGACGGUGCACUAGAAUUGAUCAGACUUCUUCUUUUAAGUUCACCUGCCCUUGAGACAAUGACAGUAUAUAAUCACCCCAGCAUAUCUCUUGAUGGUAAUGAUCUAGCAAAAACGUUGCUCCGAUUUAAGCGAUCGAGCGCACUUAAUUUAGAAUUUGUUCUAGCUGAUUUUGAUAUGUUGUAUUGUGAUUUCAGAAUAAGAGUUUGGCACAACUCUUUAUGAUGAUGUAUGUCUGUUGAAAACAAUUUGAAUUUAGGGAUAAAUUCUACUGUGAGAAGUAUGUCAAGACUAGAGAAGAUCGUUUCAUUUUUCAGUGAAAAUAAAGUGUCAAACAAUGCUCAUACCUCAGUGGAGAGGCCGAAUAUAAUACAGACUCUUGUGGUAAAAACUUGUGUCGAAUGUGGCCCAACUUGAUUUACCAAACAGCAACUAGUGUGACCCAAAUUCUUUAGGUGCCCACUCUAGCUCUAUUUCUUACUCCUCCAAAACCCUAAAGAACGAAAGAAACAGCCGUAGCAGAAUUAUCUCUAAAGACUGAAUCUUUCUCUCUCAGGUUUCUGAACAAAAGUGAAGUGCUUGGUAAUUAAGUUGAUUCUCUUAAUUUCGUGCUAUUUGCAUCCAUCGUCUUCCUUCAUAUUUUUAUUAACUGUGUAGUAAAAUUUUCUGAUUGAUCUUCAAGUGUUAGUGGAGUUUGGAAUUUGGGCAUAUGAUUUAAGGGAAGAAAUAUAAAGAAUUCUCUCACUUUCUUGAAUUAAUCCAGUCUGAUAGGUGUCAUAAUUGAAAUUGAAAUUGUAUGCUUUCUAUGUCUGCACACUAGGUCUCAGUCUAAAUGAGAUUUGUUUUGAUACUUGAAUAUCACAGAAGGAUCUUCCAAGUCCUAGGUUGAAUAUGGAGGUGGAGUUGGAUAGAAUCAGCAACUUACCAGAAGAGGUUAUAGACAAAAUAUUGACAAAUUUGCCAAUCAAGGAUGGAGCGAGGACGAGUGUUUUGGCAAGCAAUUGGAGGUACAAAUGGGCUAUGCUUCCACAUCUUGUGUUUGAUGCUCGGUGCAACUCCAGGAUUGCUAAUCAGGUGCUCUUAGGUCAUUUUGGCCCCAUAAGUAAGUUUGAACUUUGUCAAGGAUCCAAAGACAUCAGAGAUAUUGAUGGCUGGAUUCUUUACCUGUCAAGAAACCACCCCGUCAAUGACUUGAAACUCAGCUUUUCUGUGAGGAAGCGUUACAAGAUGCCUUCGUGUAUGUUUUCUUGUCAAGAUAUAAUUCAUUUGAAUUUGACUGGAUGUCUGCUAAAACCUCCUUCAACAUUCGAAGGGUUCAGGAGUUUGAGAAGCCUUCAUUUUGAGGAUGUUAUACUGAACCAGGAUGUGUUCGACCAUAUGAUUCUUUCUUGUAAUCUGCUUGAGAGAUUGACUUUGAAGGACUGUGGCGGUUUCACCCAACUCAAGAUUGAUGCACCCAAUCUUCUAAUCCUACACUGUUCUGGUGUUUGUAAGGAUUUCAGUACUGUGAAUGCAUUGCAACUUGCUUAUGUUUACAUUGAUUUAUUUAUCCCACAAGUUCAUCAUAAUUCUAGCAAUGUGCUCAAGUUUUUUCACUUUUUCGUUAGCCUGCCUAUGGUUGAGGGUCUUCAUAUUAGCUGGAGCUUUUUGAAUUAUCUGGCUGCUGGUGCUUUGCCAAAACUACAUAAACCAUGUCUACAUCUGAAGUUUCUUGACAUAUCCAUGUUCUUUGAUUAUAUGGAGGAAGUUUCAAUUGCUCUUUGCCUUCUGAGCAGCUCGCCUGCUCUCGAAAUACUAAAUAUGGAAGCUAUGGGGUGUCAUAAUCAAGCUGAUGUGGGAGUAGUGAAGUCUUGGCUGUAUAAGAACCGGAUUUGUUCAUUCACCAAACUGCGAUUUGUGAAAAUACAACGCAUAUCUGGUGUUGAAGCUCAACUAGAUUUUAUCAGAUUUCUGCUCAUAAGUUCACCAGUACUUGAGACAAUGACUGUUGUGUUUCUGCCUUUGGAGCCUAAUGCUGCUGAUGAAAAUCCGGAUCUAGCUGUUCACCAACAUUAUUUGGAUGUAGUUACAAAGUUGCUGCGGUUCAGACGUGCCUCACCGAAUCUAGAGAUAAUAUAUUCACAGCCAUGAUUCAUCAAUGUAUUUAGGUAGCUCUAGUGGUAGUUGCUUCCAGAGUGUGUGACUUCUGUUCAAGUUUUAUGUAAUCUAUUUUUAUCUGUCCACAAUUAUCUCCUUCUAGCAUUACGUUCUAUUUUAUUGUUCAAGUUUUCUGCACAAUUCCCAAACAGAUUGAUAAAACCUUUAUGUCAACCAAGAAAAAGGACUAUUCAUUGAAAUCAAACAGGAGGCAUAGAACCUCAAUACUAACAACUAAAUAUGCCCCGGCAUCUAAACACACAUGUAUCAGAAUUCAAUGGCACAAAAGAGGGCUCUUGAUGCCCCCAAGUUGUUUACAACAUUGCUAUAGCCGAUUAUUACAUAACUGGUUCUCGUACUGCACUGAUCGACUCCAUAACCCAGCAGUUGUAAGCAAAGCAAACCACUUCCAAUCGAGAAAAGCCAGAGUUCAGUGCUAAGGCCUCGUACUCUUUUUUGGUUCUUAGUCUCUUUUCCUCCUGGGUUCUGAGUAAACAUUAGUAAAUCCUGCUCCCACACAAUGUUGGACGUAACGCUAGUAUAUAUAUCAGGUAUUUCAGGAAGAAUUGACUCCACAAAGAUCACUUUUCCAGAGCAAGGGAGUGAUUUACAGCAGUUCUUGAGAAGUGUCAAAGUGUCAAACAAUUCUCAUCACUCCAAUCAUGAAGGAUCCAUUGAAAAUUACAUAAACCAGACUAUUACCAAAAAUCAAGUGUAGUAUAUAUAUGAAGGCUGCUCGAUCUAUCUUUAUAUGUGUGAGAGGUGUAACACCGGUUUGAGUUCACAACUCCUUAUUUCCCUCCAUAUUAUCCUACUCCCUAGACCCUACUUCAAGUGAAUUCAAUGAUUAAUCUAGAGGGAUUGAGGAUAUAGUUUUUCUUUUGUUUUUUUCAGAGGCUUCUAGUGUCAAGUGUCAACCUGCUGCCCAAAACUUGAGUCCAACAGUAGCUUGGUUAAUCCCCUGCCCAUUCGAAUUUAUGUUUCAACAAGUUUCAUUCGGCAUGUAUGUGAUCCAACUACACAUAUGUGUUGAAUUUCAGUAUUUUUUUCGAAUAAAAUGAUUCGUCUUUAUCAAGUCCAUGAAAUUGAGGGGAAUUGCGUUCCCCUUCCAUGUAACUAAUCAAAUAGUGUAAAAAUGUGGAGAUUUACUUUUCUUUAGUAUGCAAAGCAUUAGAACAUGCAUAUAUAGUUAUCCAUGCUUAACCGCUACAGGAUUCUACAUUUAAAAGAGUUUUGGGCAGCUGAAGUUAUUUUCAUGAUCAUUCCUUGCCCAGUUAAUUAGUUGAAUUCUUGUCCAAAAAAUUGAAUAGAAGAAUAAAAGUAUAAUAGAAACCAAUUUUUCAGGUUACGGAUACUUUCAAGUAUGCAUGAAAAGGAUAAGCACAGAAAGCUAGCUAGCCGCUAAAAGAAGAGGUCGGAAAUUAGAUUUUCUUGAUGUUUCUGGAUCUAAAAGAAAACUAGAUGAUUUCUGGAAGUCGAGUUCGAUAUACAUGAGCCACAGAAAGCUGUGUAUGGAUGAGUUUCAAUAGCCUCCGGUUCUCAGGCUGUCUGUGUACGGCUGUUCCCCCAUAGUCAGAAUAACUUCUUGACUUGACUUGACGUAGAGGUCGACAAGGCCAUUUUUCCAAACGUCUUUUCAAACGCGCCCUAUCAGGGCCUACCCUAGCUCAGGGCAUCACCGGCCUCGAUCCAUUGCUAUCUCAUUCCCAGAAGAUAUUUCCGAUCGGAAACUUUUGCCCUUUCAUGAAAAACGUUGUACUGGACUACUGGCUUUGAUGCGUUUAGUGGAAACUGGAAAUUGAUUGUGAAAAGGAUCGGUGACGAAUGGCGGAGCGACACCAGGAACUGGUGAUGGUGACUGUCGGAAACGAUGAUGAUCAAGGUGUGACGAUCAGGUGAUGAUAUUACAUAAUGAAUUAAAAGAAAUCAUAAGUUUCUUUUCCGAGCUAUAUAUACGAGUCAUCAGAGUCGGCAUGUAUGAGUCCCAGAGAGGAGAGUACAGUAUUCCCUACAAGUAUAAUAUGAGUCAUAUAUAUGAUCGAUCUUCAAUCUUUAAUUUUGUUGCGAGUACUUAAAUCUUUGGCUGCAUACAUGCAUAUUAGGUAUACGAUCGAUUGUGUGGUCUAUUUCGGUGAAAAGCACUAUGGCUUUACUCCCAACAAAAGAAUCUCAUUCAUGGUCUACAGAAUCUUGUACUCCUCGAGAGGUAGGCCUAGCUAUCUUAUACAUGAUCACAACGUAUAUACUGAUCUAAUCAAAUUUCAAACUGAGCCGAUCAUCAUCACACAUGCAAUACAUAAUACAAAUUCCAUCAAACGUACUGUGAAAUUAUAAUUGAGACACACAGUACUCAAAUUACUUGUUCCAGAAGAAAUUUGAACUUAAGACCUCAUUCGAUCCUGAACCAUGCACCAAACCCUAAAGCUAGCGCAUGCCCUGAAAACUAAGAGCUUCAGUCACUUUCAAGUAGGCGCAAGUUUGUUAAAGAAGCAUCAAAACUAAUUGCAUAUAUAUACAUCCAACUUAAUUGAUGGUUAACUAAUAUUUAGCCUUAGUUUACAUGUGUUAGUAUCCGAAUUGAUCAGUUAUAUCUUCUAGCACCAUUGGUUGAUUCAACAAGUGGUGUUCAAUUUCUUCUGCGAGUAAACACCAAAACUAAUCAUAUUCAUCCAUAUCUUAUCUUGUUGUCGCUCUAGUUUGCUUCUUCUAUGUAUGUAGGUGGUUCAUAUCCUUUUCAUGAAGUCCAACAAAACUUCUCUAUCUUUGUCCAUCUAGCUCUUUCUUCCAGUAGGUUUCUAUCUUUCUCAAAUUAUACUUGCCAACUCGUAAGCCUCCAAUUCUCGAAUUAAGCAUUUGUACAAUAUUUGAAACCAUUGUCUUUCUUUUCAAACAGAAACCCUCAGUUUUGUGAUAUCAACAAAUGAUUCGAUCUCGAACUUACGACCUCUUGUCACACUUACGUUAAUGUCACUAAACCAACUCGUAUUGAACUAGAUACCCUUGCCUUCGGAUUCAACUAUAUAUAGUUCUUUUUCGUACUCCUCGAGAUCUCUAUCUCUCUUUAAUAUGUAUCCAGGAAGUUAUAACUUGCAAGCCUUUUUUAUAAGACGUACACUGAAUUGGCUCAUUUCGAGUGACAGAUGAGCUGCUCAUCGAUCAGUAGUGGGCGGCUGAAACUCUUUCCGACAGAUCCAUGUCCUAGUUCAUGAUGAAAAUGAAUUAUUACAGGACCCAGGAAUAUCUUAUCGUCGAACCCCGCUAUACGAUUGUAAAAAUAAUUACCCAGAAAGAUGUACGAUAUAUAACAAACUCAGAUCAAGUCAGAGCGAGCAUAGCACGUAAUACAAAGUAUUAAAGAUCACCAUAUGUAGCACUUCCCCGUUUAGGGUUUAUAUGGUCGUCAUCGAUCUGUUUUGAUUAGAUUAAUGUAAACCAGUUCCUUGAUCGAGCAUAACAUAUAUUGAUAUAUAGUUAUAUACCAAUGACAUUCUUUUUAUCAGUUUCGUGUAAAAGAAAAAUGGAAAUCCUUCUCAUGUAUAUAUAUACCAAGUAAGCUAGUUUCACGUACUUGUUGAGGAAAAUAAUCAUGAUUACAAGUCCACGAUGAUCCAAAAGCAACCAAAACACCUGCAGACCACAUCAAGUACAAUUCCAACACACACGAAAACCCUAAAUACAAAUAUCCCGUCCUAUUCUUUAUGCAGGGACCAUAUAAUUGACUUGAUCUUGCAUAAUCUAUAGUUAAAACGAUUGAUAAUGAGUGGAAAAUGAAGUUUUGCUUCUCAGGUCCAACCUCAAAGAUGCCCUUCCAAUAACUGAUGCUGAUAUAUAUUUUGCGUAUCCAGUAACAAACGUGUUAUGUAUUCUGAGAUUUCUGGGUUAAAAGAGGAAACUGAAAGGAUAUAUAAAACGACGAUCCAAAGCUAGCUCGACAAAAAUGAUUAAAGGGUCUCACUGUAUGGGGGAUAUCAUUAGAUAUCAUUUCAUGGGGGUCUCAAUCGAUGAUGGCCGCUCCUCCUUGGUUUCGUAUAUCACAUCCUAAUAAGGGUUGGCGCUGAUCUUAAUUGUUUCUAUUUAUAGUAAGACAACAACCGCCUGCUCCACCACGCUGGCGAGUCUGGCCGACCUUCAUUCCUCACCCCCAAUCAGUCACCAGUCAUCAUGAUUGACUCGAUCAGUUUCCACUUGAUGAUCGACAUCCUAGCUCCACUUGUGUUAUAUAUGAGAUCAUCAGGUCGAUCAUAUAUAAUCUAGGAAACUCUUCUAACGAGGAUCUUUAAGUUGAGGACUAGUUGAAGACUUUUCGGCUUAUCCUAAUUUUCGAUCUUAUAUCCACAUCUUGACAGUUCAGUUCAUAGGUAUUUAUGAGUAGAUCAUUUCUGUAAAUUUUCAGCCAUAUUGAAUAUCGUUAAGGCAUUCAUAAGUGUGAUAUACCAAUUAUGAACUUGAACAGUUCAUGUUUGACAUAUUUGGUUCAUUUAUUAAUUUGAUAUAGUUUGUUACCUUAACGAUCAUCGAUUUGGCUGAAAAUUUGUAUGGUUGAUCUAUACAUAUAGACCUAAAAACUGAACGGAUGAGAUGUCAAGAUGUUAUCGAAAAAUAGGUCAAUUAAAUCAUAAACCGAAAAGUCUUCAACUAGUCUUCAACUUAAGGGUCCUCAUUAGAAUGGCUCCUAUAUAAUCUAAGCUAGGCCUACGUAUCCAAAAUAUCGUUUGUCUUGUACUCUAAAGGCUCCAAUCCCGAAGUGAAUGGAUAGCUUUGUAAAAGAGGCCAUCUCCAUUAAUAGAGGCUAUAGGUCCAAAUCUUAAAUUUUGGUUUUCUUUCAGUCUCCAACAAUAAAUAUGAAAAGGGCUAAAGAGUCAAAGGGCCAUCAAAAGGGCAAAACAUAGGCCUUUAGGCCAUCUCCAGUAGGAGAUGGCUAUAUUAAGGCCAGGGCUAUAAUUUAGCCCUCAGAAAUAUUAUUUUUUAUUUAUAGACUACUAAACGAUCUCUAGUAAUAGAGGGCUAAAUUUUAGCCCAAUCAAAUAUUUUAUGAUUUCACAUUAUAUUUUCAAACUUAUAAUUUUAUUUUAUUAUAACAUUAUUUAGAUUAGGACCAAGAUAAAUAUUUGAGAGAAGAAACAAAUUAUUUGAUUUAAUGAACAACUAGCCGUUGUUAUUAAACAACCAUAAUUGCAUUCAAAUGAGCAUUGGAAAAUUUUUCCGUUAGGGGAAAAUGUGAUGCAUGGGCAUGACCAAUUAAAUGUUGCCAUUUGCCAAACUUUGAGUCAAUUUCAGCCAACCCACAUGGAUCAUUUCAAUUUUUUAUUCUGAUGAGGAACCACUCUUUGGUUUAGACUGGGCUAGCCAAAGGGCUAAGUUUGGCCCUUUUCAUUGGCCUUUGGCUCUCUUGUAAUUUAUUGUUGAAGACCAUAUUAUAGCUAAAAUAUAAGAAUUGGCCAUUUAGACUCUCUUGUUGGAAAUAGCCUUAUUUUAGCCCCGGCCCCAAAUUUUAGCUAGCCCAGGCCAAAGCAAAAUGUGGUCCCAAAUUAAAUUAAAAAACUAUAUUUUGCAUGUGGGUUGAUUAAUGAUGUCUCAAAUUAUAACAAUUGUUAACUUUCUAUUAGAUGAUUCAUUCUCGUCUCAUUACAAUGGGCAAAUUCUUCCGACUCAAAAUCAAUGCUAUGUAAUUAAUUAAAUAUGCAAUAAAUGGCUGAUAUCUUAUUGUGUUAAUAUAUUCACAAACAAUGCAAAAAGUUUAUUCAAGAAUUAAUGUGACGACGUAUUUGUUGUAAAAGUGACAACAUAUUUAUAAUAAAAGUGACAACAUAUGUUAAAAUAUAAUGUGAAACCAUAAAAUAUUAAAAAGGGCUAAAAUUUGGCCUUUCAUGCUGGAGAUAGUUAUUUAGUAAUCUAUGAAUAAAAAACAAUAUUUUUAGGGCUAAAAUAUAGCUCUGACCCCAAUAUAGCUCUCUCAUAUUGGAGAUGACCUAACGUAGCUAGGUUUAUAUACAUGGUUGAAACUUAUCGACUGCUCUUGCCAUUAUUCACUCCAUUAUUGAGUUCGCGCGAUAUGACUUCAGUUGCAAAGUUUAUAUAUACUGCAAAUUUCCAUUUAUUCAUGUUUUUGUAUCACGUACUCUUGUAAUUCUAUGUAGUGUCUUACAAGGAUCACUGUCAAAUAAUGGAAUUAUGGAAAUACACAACCAUAUAUGCAUGGAAAAGCAUCUAAGAUUAAACCAACCGGUCAGUGUCUCGGUGAUCAUGUUCUCAAUGGAUCUCAAUGGAUGUGGGAUGAACCAAAAUUAGAAUGAUAAGGUUCUAAGUUGGGUUACGUUCAAUUUUCCAUAUUAAUUGUACGUUGAGAGUCAGGAAAUAUAAUUUUACAUCUUUCGGCAGUUAUUUUUUUAGAAUAGGCAUUGUAUGCUGAUCUAUGUAGUGUUUUUUAGGCAUCGAUAUAUCAUCAUGGAGUGUUCGUCCAUCCCUAACUUGACAUCGUGAGUCGUUUGAUUAAUAUGGAACUGGAUACCUCCCCCUAAAGAAAAACCUUGAACCUCCUAUGCACAUUUAGUUAAUUAUCAGUACCAUUUUGCAAGCAAGCAGGCAAGCAUCAUAACUUGGUAGUUCAACCUUUAAAGUGAGUAGUCAUAGAAAAUUCGGCAACUUUCUCAAAUAAGUUAUAUCACGUAUAAAAAAUUCUUGUAUGUACGACGUGCAAAUAAACUGUACCAUUUUAGUCAUUCAUAUAUUAAGACUUCUCAUGUAUGUCCAAUAAGUUAUAGAUCUUGAUCAUCCACAUAAUAUUUAUAACCGGUGCAAAAAACUCUCCUAUCACUUACAUGUGAAAGAAAAAUGAGAUUAGGUCUACGUCAAACCGUAUCACCAUCACGUUAAUAAUAAGAAAAUUCAGUUUUAAAAAAUUCCAUUUUUUUGCAAAUUUUAAAAACUAUUUUCAACCUCAUGUUUAGCAGUUUAGGUACGUAAAUAGUUACCAUCGUCCAAUUUAAUUUGCUUUAACUUGGUCGGUUUAUCCCUCGCGUAUACUGUAGUUUUCUUUACUUUUCUUUGAUGGGACACAUGGUUGUCCUUGCAAUUAAUCUUCAUCACAUGACACAAAUUUGCUAUAAUCCAUCAGAAGCGUGACACAUUAACAGUAUUUUAUUCGUUAUCCUAUGCUUAACUUUAUUGGGACUAAUAAUGCUUACAGUUUUCUCUUUGUAUUGAUCACUACAUUUGAUUAUUCCACUGGCCACCAUUACUGCUUGCGAGUGACAUAAUAUAUAUUCGUACACAUGUUAGGCCUAUACAUGAAGCAUCAAACAGAUUUAUUUUCGGUGUGAUAAUUUCUCACUUUAACAAGUCAUGCAUAGUCAAAACGAUUACUUAUAAAAACUACUAAUCAAAAGAUUAAACAUAAAAUAAAUUAACCUUAUGGGAAUUCAACUUUAAGUCAUGUUUGAACAAUUCAAAAAGUUCAGAAUACCUGUAGCUAGUAUGGUUUUAUUACCCAAAAAAAAAGUAUGUUUUUAUUAUAAUUACUUAACUCACCUUACGUGUUACUAAGAUUUAAUCACAUGAUCUAGCUAUACGGUGUCAAAGUUUAGCUAACCAAAAUGUCACGGCUAAGUUUAAAAUAGCUGGUCACCAAACUUGUAGACCGGAUUUCUUCACUAAUCACAUCAACAAGUGAUCUGCUAUCAUUAGAUAACGUUUCAUAAUUUCUAUUGCACGCCACUUCUAUAAUAAGAAGAAAAUCCCGGGGGGGUGGCACGAAACCGAAAUAGUAGAAAAUGGAAGCACCGCAAGAGAAAAUACAGCAGCGCGUUCAAUGAACUGGAUCCCCAAAACCGGGUGGACCCCACAUCCUCGGUAAACGCAGCCACUUUCUAAUUCGUAUUCUCCACCACGUGCUUAAAUUCUUACCUCCUUCCUCUUUUUUAUCCCCACGUGCUUUAAAUACCUCCCAUAAGUCUCUCCUUGUCCGACUCCUCUUCUCUCCUCCCUCAACUCUCUCUCUCUCUCUCUCUCUCUGAAAAUGAGUUCCAAUAAAAUAUUAAUAUUUACAGUCCUCCUCCUCACAUCUCAGACAGUCCCGGCGUCGCCGUCGCCGUCUGCUCCGGGAGAUCACAGUCACCCGAUUUCUGAGCUCGAGCUCGACUGUUGCCUAAACUGCAAGCCAAGCCCCGAAUUAACCUCCGCCACCAAGAACUACAGCCGCAUCCACCGUGCCCUAGCGACUGCAUCGACGGCGACGUCUUGCGAGGUCUGGACGACGGCGUGCUCGGAAUCGGUGCUGAGCUUUGCGAAGCAGCCGGAGAACGUGGAGUGGCUGAAGAGGAUUAGGCGGAGGAUCCAUGAGCAUCCGGAGCUGGCUUUUGAGGAGGUCGAGACGAGUCGCUUGGUUAGGGCCGAGCUUGACAGGUUGGACAUCGAUUACCGGUUUCCGUUAGCAACCACCGGGAUCCGGGCAUGGAUCGGAACCGGCGGCCCGCCGUUUGUGGCCGUCAGAGCUGACAUGGAUGCCCUGCCUAUUCAGGUACUGCGUUAAUUAAGCUUUUGUAUUUUAUCAUAAGAGAAAGAUUCAACUAUUCUUUCUUUUUAUGGAACAAAAAAACUUACCUAGCUUUCUUUCUUUCUUCUUUGUAUACUUGAUUUCCUUCCUAAAUUGGUUAGGGAUGGAAUGAAACUUGCAUUUGGAGUUUUUCGUGCUUACGGUUCACACAAGAAAUGACAAGUUUUAACUCGAUCUGGACUUGAAAUUAUUUAUGUUUAGUUUUUGCAUUUUUUUUUUCUAUAAUUCACAUAUAGAGAUCAAAAUUCGAAAAAUCUAACGAAUGUCGUCUAGCAUUCACAUAAACACCUGAAAUGAUUGUUUAUACUGACACAUGUGCACUUCAUUGAUGUUCUUGUGAUGAUUCAUAAGAUGCUUUAAUUUCGUAUAUUAUGAGUUGUCAGAAGUAUAUGGAUAACAUAGUAUGUUAGAUGAGAGAGAAAACAAACUUAUGUGUGUCGGAGAGUCAAGAAUCUAAGUAGAAUAUUGUUUUCGCACGAAGUAUUAUUAAUUUUGCUGAUCAUGUUUUCAAUGCGCUAAUCAUGUUUUCAAUGCGCUAUAUUCAGAAUCUCGAGAUUUUAUUUUUUUUAAGUAAAAAAAAUAAAGAGAAGUAUAUUGAAAAUGUUGGCCUGAAAAUGUUGUAGGAAGCCGUAGAAUGGGAACACAAGAGCAAGGUCGCCGGCAAAAUGCAUGCUUGUGGGCACGACGCACAUGUGACCAUGCUAUUAGGUGCUGCCAAGAUCUUGAAGAGCCGUGAACACCUUUUGAAGGUCAGUAAAUUUCUCACUUUCUUCUUCAUCACAGUUUUACCUAAAAGUAAAUCUGGUUGGUAGGGUUGGUUGCGAUUAAAAGCCUCUGAUCAACUUUUGGUAAAAGCUUUUUAUGCCUAUAAUCACUUUUGGACAAGUAUGGCAGGUUUUGUCUUGCGCUUUAAACUUCAGUUAAUCUGUCUUGUUUCCACACACACACACACAAAAAAAGUUGAAUUAACUUGUUGCUCAGCUAGGGCGGUGUUGGAUGAGUUGCUUUGUGGGUCUUCAAUUACACAUUGCCCAAACACGGCUUUAUCUAUAUCACAUGCAAUGAUGCGCUCUUGUAGUAUUCUUUCUGCCUUUUCCAACUAGUUUUUUCUUCACCGGUGCUUAUUUCUUAAGCCUGUCUGCUGGUAAACUCUUCUCGAGUCUUCUACAAAUAUGAAGACAGCAUUGUUUGAUUUCGGAUCUAGUAUAAUCUUAACCUGCCAUCUUGAGAUACUUUGAACCGAUAUUUGUUCCCAUUUCGUAUUAUGCACAAUCUCAAUAGCAAACAUUGUAGUCGCAACAUUGUUUUUGCUUUGAUAUCUUCUUUCGUCAUUUCUAUGGUUGUCGAGAAACUAAAUCGAGAUGGUUAUGAGUAGAGAAUAUAGAUGUGUAUUUCAUUGAUGAAUAGGGCGCUGGCAUACAAAGCUAAAAUCCAUUACAGAUAGAAAUUCAAGGGUAAUGAGAGAUUAAUUUUGGUUAAAUAAGUUUGAUGGUUGUUAAUGGCUGUUUGUGUUUGUACUAAUGUAGUUUGUACUCAUACGAGCUAGAAUAAUACUUUAACAUGUUGCAUUUGUCAGUGUAAUUGAAGCACGUGGGUUAAUUAGCACUGUGCUGGUCUAACUGAGUGGCUAUGUUAUAAAUACUUGGUUCAGAAUAUAAUAAAGUACGUCUCGAUCUGUCUGUACGUUCUUGCUGGUCCUGGGUCUCUGUUUUACUGUCUACUCUGCUUCAAUCGAUGGCCAGCUACCCAAUCCAGCUGAUAUUGGUCAAAUGUAGGUUUCAACUUACAUUCUAAUUAAGAAAGAGAACUGUUGGAUACACUGGAGGUUAGACUAUUCGAACUGUUCGUAGAAUUUAUAUACAUGGCCCAUCUCUAAGCUAAGGUUUGGUAAAGAAUUCAUUCAACUAUGGAAGCUUGUGCUAUAUUGGAUUGAUGAUCGCAACCCCUCACCCUCAAGUCACUAUCCAAAUCUUUUGUAAUCGUUUAUUGUGUACUAAACGAAUUACACUGAAGUCUACUGAUUUGAUUUGACUGGAUUUACUUUUACAGGGGACUGUAGUAUUGAUAUUUCAACCGGCGGAGGAAGCCGGUAACGGCGCAAAGAGAAUGAUUGGAGAUGGGGCUUUGGAGGAUGUGGAGGCCAUAUUCGCAGCUCAUGUAUCCCACGAGCAUCCCACAGGCAUUAUUGGGUCGAGGUCUGGUCCUUUGCUAGCUGGCUGUGGCUUCUUUAGAGCUGUUAUCACCGGAAGGACUGGCCAUGGCGAAAGCCCUCACCACUCUGUCGACGCCGUUUUGGCAGCUGCCGCGGCCGUGAUCAGCUUACAGGGAAUUGUAUCACGCGAAGCGAACCCUCUAGACUCUCAGGUAGUACUGCAUUGUGUUUCGUUUAGUUUCUGCUUUGUGUGAAAUGUGAAUAUGUGAAAGCUGAUCUGCUUGAUGUUUUAUGAAAACAGGUGGUGUCCGUUACAGCUUUUAAUGGAGGUGACAAGCUUGACAUGAUACCUAAUAGUGUUGUAAUUGGUGGGACUCUCAGGGCUUUCUCUAACACAAGCUUCUAUCAUCUUCUUCAAAGAAUUGAAGAGGUUUGUAGCUCUAUAGAUUAUUGCUAAUCUAGCUACCAUGCUUCACAAAUAUUUGUAGGGAUUAAGCUGAUGCAAUAAUGCCUCUAACAGGUAAUUGUGGAACAAGCAAGUGUUUACAGAUGCUCGGGAACGGUGGAUUUCUUCAAAGACAAGCACACCAUAUAUCCACCGACGGUGAACGACGAGAAGAUGCACGAACAUGUGAGGAAAGUAGCCAUGGAUUUGUUGGGUCCAACAAACUUCAGGGUGGUGCCGCCUAUGAUGGGUGCGGAGGACUUCUCCUUCUACUCAGAGGUGAUCCCUGCCGGCUUCUUCUACAUUGGCAUAAGGAACGAGACCUUGGGUUCCUUUCACACAGGCCAUUCACCUUAUUUUUUCAUCGACGAAGAUGUUUUGCCUAUAGGGGCAGCAACUCAUGCCACUAUUGCCGAAAGAUACCUCAUCGAGCAUGGUUAAUCCGGAAAAGUCAAGGUUCCGGUGGAUGCAAAAUGCUGUUUCAAUGGGCACAAGCAUGAUGUGUAUAUUGCUGAGAAUGUGCUCUUUAGAUUUUGGUGUUAGGGGUCAGGCGGACUAGUACAGGGGAAGGCAGUCCAUUUCAUUUUAUUGAUGUAAAGGACGCAGCUAGAGCAUUUUCAGCUGGUCCAUGCUGCAAGCUGUAUUACUCAAAUGUUGCUAGAAUGAGUAGUUCUGCUAUUUAACGAAUGCAAUAAACAUUUGUCCAUACUUUUCUUCUGUUUCAUCAGAGAGAGAAGGCGAGAGUCGAACUCUGAACAGAAUAAAGAGGAUAUAGUGCUUGAUAUUUAGACAGCACACACCUUUCCAUUAUGUCACAUUCCUUUACCCAAGCUUUGUAACAAAAACGAUGUCCAUUACACCUCAUUUCCAAUUCAACUCAGUUCUAAAGUUCUACUACCAAAUAGAAAACGAAAUCAAGAAAAUUUUGAUGGCUUUCCCCAAUAAACAAUCUUGUAUCUUCCAAAUCUCAGCUCUUCUCACCACAUAAACUUCGGGCAGCUUGCAGGGCAAAGUAUGUGAGGAUAACGUCAGCACCAGCCCUUCGUAGACACAUCAGGGAUUCCAGCAUAACCUUUUCUUCAUCAAUCAUUUUGAGAGCACCACCAGCCUUGAUCAUUGAAUACUCACCAGAAACCUGCAUCGAUGAUUUUACAAAGACCAGCUUGAAGAUUUAGAAGCUUAAUGCAUGGGAUAAAGAAUUUCUGUCUGGGAAUGAAAUGAUAAGACAGGGAUACGACUUAAGGGAUGGUCAACCUGAUAUGCAGCGAUUGGCAAAGAAGAGCUAUCCCGGAGUAAUCUUAUGAUAUCUAGAUAUGGCAGACCAGGUUUCACCUGUUAACCAUUUUGCUAAGUUUCAGAACUAGAGCUUUUGGCAAUCAAUGCACACUACUAAAUGGUAUAAAGCAAGGAAUACAAACCAGGAGGAUAUCAGCUCCUUCAGACUCAUCUUCACCUGCCUCAAUCACAGCCUCUCUAUAAUUUGCUGGGUUCAUCUGAUAACUUGUGUUUUACAAGCCAGUUUUAU